Brachypodium distachyon (stiff brome) is the source of this 125-nucleotide non-coding RNA. The record is from Rfam. Lineage: Eukaryota; Viridiplantae; Streptophyta; Magnoliopsida; Poales; Poaceae.
UUACUACUUCCUUCGACCCAUAUUAUUUGUCAAAAUAUUACAUGUAUCUAGACAUUUUUUAAAUAUAGACACAUUCAUAUUUGAACAAAUUUGAAACAAAUAAUAUGGGUCGGAGGGAGUACCUU